GAUGAAGAACGUAGCGAACUGCGAUAAGUAAUGUGAAUUGCAGAAUUCAGUGAAUCAUCGAGUCUUUGAACGCACAUUGCGCCCCCUGGCAUUCCGGGGGGCAUGCCUGUCCGAGCGUCAUUGCUGCCCAUCAAGCCCGGCUUGUGUGUUGGGUCGUCGUCCCCCCCGGGGGACGGGCCCGAAAGGCAGCGGCGGCACCGUGUCCGGUCCUCGAGCGUAUGGGGCUUUGUCACCCGCUCGAUUAGGGCCGGCCGGGCGCCAGCCGACGUCUCCAACCAUUUUUUUUCAGGUUGACCUCGGAUCAGGUAGGGAUACCCGCUGAACUUAAGCAUAUCAAUAAGCGGAGGA
RNAcentral lists this unclassified non-coding RNA (348 nucleotides) under soil metagenome. RNAcentral's name for it is "partial contains 5.8S ribosomal RNA, internal transcribed spacer 2, and large subunit ribosomal RNA". The stretch from base 1 to 120 matches the Rfam family "5.8S ribosomal RNA", at positions 35 to 154 of the family's 154-position model. The record is from RNAcentral.